RNAcentral lists this ribosomal RNA (446 nucleotides) under uncultured bacterium. RNAcentral's name for it is "bacterial SSU rRNA". It matches the Rfam family "Bacterial small subunit ribosomal RNA", at positions 28 to 493 of the family's 1533-position model. The record is from RNAcentral.
GAUGAACGCUGGCGGCGCGCCUAACACAUGCAAGUCGAACGGCACCCCCCUCCGGGGGGAAGCGAGUGGCGAACGGCUGAGUAACACGUGGAGAACCUGCCCCCUCCUCGGGAAUAGCCGCGGGAAACCGCGGGUAAUGCCCGACGACCCGGGGACCGCGCAUGCGGCCCCCGGCAAAGCCCAGGCGGGAGGGGAUGGCUCCGCGGCCCAUCAGGUAGACGGCGGGGUGACGGCCCACCGUGCCGACAACGGGUAGCCGGGUUGAGAGACCGACCGGCCAGAUUGGGACUGAGACACGGCCCAGACUCCUACGGGAGGCAGCAGUGGGGAAUCUUGCGCAAUGGGGGCAACCCUGACGCAGCGACGCCGCGUGCGGGACGGAGGCCUUCGGGUCGUAAACCGCUUUCAGCAGGGAAGAGACAAGACUGUACCUGCAGAAGAAGCCC